Molecule: long non-coding RNA, 6773 nt
Filed under: Solanum tuberosum (potato)
Lineage: Eukaryota; Viridiplantae; Streptophyta; Magnoliopsida; Solanales; Solanaceae
Description: long non-coding RNA (STUB_LNC004079)
Source: RNAcentral
CAGCUCCGAAUGGAAUCAACUCAAAGUUUAGUCCUCUGAAAUCAAUAUCACUAUUCAAGAAUCUCUCAGGUUGGUACUCCUCUGGAUCAUCCCACGACAAUGCAUCUCUUCCAAUUGCCCAGGCAUUAAUAAGGACUUGAGUUUUAGCAGGUAUGUGAUAGUCUAGUAAUUUUACGUCUUCCAUUGAUUCAUGAGGAACUAGUAGUGGAAACGGUGGAUGAAGCCGAAGUGUCUCUUUGAUCACUGCUUUAAGAUACUGCAUAUUUCCUAAGUCAUCCUCUGUUACCUCUGCUUUUCCUUGGGCUAAUCCUCGCACUUCAUUCUGUAAUGUUUCCAUGGCUCUUGGAUGCAUCAAAAACUCUGUCAUUAUCCACUCUAAAGUUGUAUAUAUUGAAUCCGUACCAGCAGUAAAUGAGUCCUUUGCAUUAAGAAAAACACAUAUAUAACAGUACGAAAAUGCUUAAAUAAAAUAAAAUUAAAACAAGACAAGCCAAGGAUGGAAUAGGUAGUUGUAAGAGAGAUACCAAAAGGAUAGCUUUCAGUGAAUCUCUUUGAAGAGGAAAACCAGUCUCCUUUCCAUCCUGAAUUUCCAGCAAAACGCCCACGAAAUCUUUAGCUUCACCCGCACUGCACUCUGCUUUCUUGUUCCUAAUCACGCCUUCUUCAAUCGCGCUCUCUAGAAAUGCAUCCAAAUCUUUAGCUACUUUCUUCACUCUACUGUCCAAACCGUUCAUUUUAUCGACCCAUUUAAGCCAUGGAAUAUAAUCUCCAAUGCUAAAUAUACCUAAAAGUAUAAGAAGCUCUUCUAGAAGAGCCUUAACAGGUAUUCCACUGUCCCCUCCAUUGGAUGUCCUUCCUGUGGUCACUCUGCUGAUUAUGUUAUUCGUCAUACAACUUAAAACAUCUCUCAUAUCUAUCACUGAAUUCGAAGAAUCACCACCUUGCCUGAUUUUUUCAAUCAUGUUCGAUGUUUCUUCUUCUCUGAUAUCACGAUAAGAUUGGACUCUUUUGUUGCUGAGCAGGUGAAGCACGGCGAUGCUUCUAAUUUGUCUCCAAUAUUCACCAUAGGGACUAAAUGGCACGUCUGUGGAGCCAUAAAGAAGUCCAUCAGCGAUGCUUGAUUUAGGUCUGCUUGACCAUACAAGAUCGUGUGUUUUCAUGAUAUCGCGAGCAGCAUCAACAGAGGAAGCAACGAGCACUGGUUUGCUGCCCAAGUGAAGUAGCAUGACUGGACCAUAUUUUUUGGAUAAUUUAUGGAGAGAACGGUGAGGAUGCGACCCAAGUUGGUGCAAAUUCCCUAUGAUUGGGAGCUUUCUUGGAGAUGGUGGUAAUUUUUUGUUAUUAUUGGAAGUAGUAAAGAAGAACCUUUGAAGAAAGAAAAUGAAAACAAACAGAGGAACAAUGACAGAAUACCAAGGGAACUCCAUUUUUUAAUUUAGCAAUUAUGAGAAAUUGGGAAUUGAGUAUAGAAAUAUGUAAUGUUUUAUCAUAUUAUAUUAAUAGAAGCUUCACCACAUAAAUUGAAGGAGACAAGCACCACAUAACAACUUUUUUGUUUUUUUUUCUUGGUUAAUUACUGCCCUUUGUUUCCUUGGACCAUUAUUUGAUAGUGUCAUGGGGCAUAUAGUAAUUUAUUAUUUUGGAGCUGAUUUGAAGUGAUGAUUUAACAAACUUUGGGAUCUAACAAGGGAAGUUGAAUAAGUUUGUCAUCACUAAAAAGGGGGAAAAUGUUAUUUUGGAGUUGAUUUGAAGUUUUGAUGAUUUAAUAAACUUUCUGAUCUAACAAGGGAUCUUGUCGAGGAAAGACUCCGUAAGUGAAAAAAAACAAAAAGAUAAUUGUCUAAAAACUGCCACAACUACCAACUCUAUUGUGGCUGGUGCAUGUCUUAUCGUAGCAGCAGACUUAGCCAAUGGCUUUGCCCGAAGGGUUUGUGUCCAUUUCAUACUAGUCUUCUUCUCAAAUGACACAAGCCAAGUUUUGGCAAACAAUGUUUGUGAAUUCUGAAAAUUCAUAAGCUCACAAAGAAAAAGCCAUCUUCAAGGAAGAACACUGCUUAUACUCAACAAGGGACCCGAUGGAGUGCUGAAGCGUCUUUUGCUAUAUUUUUGAGCUUUGUGUCUUGUGUUCUUAUAUUGUAAAACUACUCCUAAAUUAUAAAGGAUAAUAGAUCUGUUGCUUGUCUAAGUCUUUAGGUUGAGUCGGAUUAACUAGAGUUAGUUACUCAAAUCAUCUAUAUUUUAGUCAAGCCUCUUUACAUCAUUGUUUUGAUGUCUCUUAGGUAGAAUUGCCUAGGAGUGUCAACUAGAGUUAGUUGAUGUGUGGGUGCAACAAAGUUGCUGCUUGUUUACACUCCUAUCUUUGAGAUAUGAGUUGGUGGCUAGAGUUAGCCUUGUUGGGUUCUUGACGUUUAGAUCAACUAGAGUUAAUUGGUUUAGUGGGCAAUGGAGUUAUUGCUUAGUUUCCUUUGUAGUAGAGUUGUUACAGUAAGGGGGGAGGGUUUAAGAGUUUAAUUCCUAGGUUACAAGAAGUUGUAAUAUGAAGUUGUGCUCCGUUUUGAGUGAAAUGGAGUUUGGGUUGAAAUCAUAUACAAGUCGUGGUUUUCACCUCCCUUGAGCAAGGGGUUUCCAUGUAAAAUCCUUGUGCUUGAUUUACUUUGAGUUAUUUAUUUUCUGCACUAUUAUUUUAUCGAAGGACCUAGUCCAGUGAUCGCUAAUGGAUGCAUACGUUUUAUCAUAAUUUUUAUGCAAGCUUUACUAGUAUUCUGUAUGUAUAUUUCCACUAGUUAAUUUGUGCGGCCACAAAAUAAUAAAUAAAGAUACAGUCAAACCUCUCUAUAGUGGUACAGUGAUAGCAUUAGCCUGAACAUUUCAUGAGUGCUAUAGUGAGUUACUUGUUAUAUAUGUAUAUUGUCAUUUAAUUUUUAAACCUCAUUUAGUUGUUAUAAAAAAUAAGAACCAAAAAAAUUAGUAAAGUUAAGUUGGCCUCCAAGAAAGAAAAAGAAAAAGUCAUAAAAUAAUAGUCAUGUGCCAAAAUAAAAAGUAAACCACAAUUGGUCUACCACAAAUUUGGUUUGCUAGCCAAGAAGAAGCUUCAUAAGAAAAGUAUUUUGGCACAUGACUAUUAUUUCUUUGACUUUUUCUUUUUUAUUUUACUAGAACUCUACCCCUAUGGCUCUGUAGUAUUCGCAUGUUUUCACAACCUAGAUAUCUUUAGGGGAUGCAGAGCAUGUUUCUCUCUAGAGAAUGCAAACUGUAUUUAGCUCUUGUAACUCCAACUAAUGUGGAAAAUCUUUUUUAGACACUAAAGGUUAGGGCUUAAGAUCAGGAGGACAAUGCAAGCUAAUGGCUAACAGACCUGAUAGUUUAUGGAGAGACGGUUAGGUUGCGACCCAAGUUGGUGGUGAUACUUUUUUCGGGUAGUAACGAACGACUUAUGGAGAAAGAAAUGAAAACAAGUAGAGCGAGAACAUAAAAGAGAUAUACUAAACAUCUAAGAAAAAAGGAGUCAACCAGUACACUUCUUACAUACAGUGAAUUCUAAAUUCUCUUGCAAUGUCCUUUCCAAUAGGUUUCAAAUUAUUAUAUUUUAUGACAUAAUAAGAAAUGGAAGGGAAAAAAACUAAGUAGCGCACGGAGUUGCCACUGCUAGUAAAGGUAAUUUCCUGCGAAUGGAGAUGCCAGUGCAUUCACUCAUAUCCAAAUCCUCCUUUUUCAUUCCUUGUGGUAAUGCUAAAUUGAAUUUGUGCACAAUCUUUGCUAAUGCUAGCUCUAUUACCAUUAUAGCAAAAUUAAUUCCUGGGCAACCCCUCGUGCCAGCUCUGAACGGAAUCUGUUAGAUUAGGUCUUAGGCCUAACUCACACCCCAAAAACUAGCUCAAAGGGAGGAGGAUUGUCCAAGCCUUAUAAGGAGUCCACCCAUCUCAUUAACCACCGAUGUGGGACUUUUGUCAUUCUUUAACAGAAUCAACUCAAAGUUUAGUCCUCUGAAAUCAAUAUUACUAUUCAAGAAUCUCUCAGGUCGGUACUCCUCUGGAUCAUCCCAUGACAAUGGGUCUCUUCCGAUUGCCCAAGCAUUAAUAAGGACUUGAGUUUUAGCAGGUAUGUCAUAGUCUAGUAAUUUUACAUCUUCCAUUGAUUCACGAGGAACUAGUAGUGGAAACGGUGGAUUAAGCCUGAGGGACUCUUUGAUCACUGCUUUGAGAUACUGCAUAUUUCCUAAGUCGUCCUCUGUUACCUCUGCUUUUCCUUGGACUAAUUCUCGCACUUCAUUCUGUAAUUUCUCCAUGGCUCUUGGAUUCCUCAAAAGCUCUAUCAUUAUCCACUCUAAAGUUGUAUAUAUUGAAUCCGUACCAGCAGUAAAUAAGUCCUUUGCAUUAAGAGAAACACAAAUAAAAAUGAGUUUAUAAAAGAAGGCCUCAAGACAUAGGACAUAAACCACGAAUUUCUAAAUUAUACUAUUUAUUAUAUAAUAGAGAAUAUGAAAACAUAUCAGAAAUGUUGUAGAAAUUCAAACUAAAAGGGGCAUAAUAACAGGGUUAAUGUAGUUUACAAAAUAUAUGUAAAUAGUGCUAUAUACUACCAAAUAAUACAUAUAACAUAACAGAAGUGUACAUUUACAAAAAUUUCUCAUAACAAUAUUCUAAGUCACCAAGUUUUUAAAGUUGAACAAUGAAGCAAUAUACUAUAUCUUUUUUUUAAAAAAAAUAAAAUAACAUGCCAAGGGAAUAAGGAGUAUUACCAAAAGGAGAGCCUUCAAUGAAUCUCUUUGAAGAGGGAAACCAGUCUCUUUUCCAUUCUGAAUUUCCAGCAAAACGCCCACGAAAUCUUUAGCUUCACCCGCACUGUAUUCUGCUUUCUUGCUCCUUAUGACGCGUUCUUCAAUCACGCUCUCUAGAAAUUCAUCCAUAUCUUUUGCUACUUUCUUCACUCUAGUGUCCAGACCAUUAAUUUUAUUAACCCAUUUAAGCCAUGAAAUAUAAUCCCCAACGUUAAAAGUACCAAGAAGUUCAAGAAUUUCUUCUUCGAGAGCCUUAACAGCUAUCCCACUUUCCCCUUCAUAGUAUGUCCUUCCUAUGUUCACUCUGCUGAUUAUGUUAUUAGUCAUACAACUUAAAACAACUCUCAUAUGUAUCACAGAAUUACACUCUUGCCUGAUUUUUUCAAUCAUGUUUGAUGUUUCUUCUUCUCUCACAUGACAAUAAGAUUGAACUCUUUUGUUGCUGAGAAGGUGAAGCACAGCGAUGCUUCUAAUUUGUCUCCAGUAUUCACCAUAGGGACUAAAUGUCAUGUCUGUAGAGCCAUAAAGGAGUUCAUCAGCGAUGCUUGAUUUAGGUCUGUUUGACCAUACGAGAUCGUGAGUUUUCAUGAUAUCACGAGCAACUUCAGCAGAAGAAACAACAAUCACUGGCUUACUGCCCAAGUGAAGUAGCAUGACUGGACUAUAUUUUUUUGAUAGUUUAUGGAGAGAACGGUGAGGAUGUGAACCAAGCUGAUGCAGAUUUCCAAUGAUUGGGAGCUUUGUUGGAGAUGGUGGUAUUUUUUUAUUAUUAUUGGAAGUAGUAAAGCAGUUAUGAAGAAAGAAAAUGAAAACAAACAGAGGAACAGCAAUAUAAUACCAAGGAAGCUCCAUUUUCUUAUGUAGCGAUUUGGAGAAUUGAGUAUAGACAAAUGUAAUAUAUAUAAUCAUAUUUUUCUUGGUUCAUUAUUGUUUCCUUGGACCAUUAUUUGAUAGUACCAUGGGGCAUGUAGUAAUUUUUAUGCAAGCUUUACUAGCAUUCAGUAUUAUAAUUCCACAAAUUUGGUUUGCUAGGCAAGAAGAACAAUCUUCAUAAGCAAAGUAUUUUAGCACAUGACUAUUAUUUCCUUGACAUGCCACAACUGGGUUUGGUCCUCCUAUUUCUUGACUCUUUCUUUUUUAUUUCACUACAACUCUACCCCUAUGGCUCUGUAAUAUUCACAUGUUUCCACGACCUAGAUAUCUUUAGGAGAGGCAGAGCGUGUUUCUCUCUAGAGAAUGCAAAGUUUAUUUAGCUCUUGUAAACCCUAAUCAUCAACUAAGGGGUCGUUUGCAUUCGAGAACAUAAAAGAGAUAUACAAAACACCCAAGAAAAAAGGAGUCAACCAGUACACUUCUUACAUACAGUGAAUUCUGAAAUUCUCUUCCACUGCCCAUUUCAAUGGGUUUCAAAUUAUUAACUAUUUAGUAGUUUAGUACUUAUUACAUAUAUACUUAUUUACUACUAGUAUAUUUUAUGACAUUAUAAGAAAUUGAAAGAAAAAAACUAAAUACCGCACGGAGUUGCCACUGCUAGUAAAGGCAAUUUCCUGCGAAUGGAGAUGCCAGUGCAUUCACUCAUAUCCAAAUCCUCCUUUUUUAUUCCUUGUGGUAAUGCAAAAUUGAAUUUGUGCACAAGCCUUGCUAAUGCUAGCUCAAUUAUCACAAUAGCAAAAGGAAUACCUGGGCAACCCCUCCUGCCAGCUCCGAAUGGAAUCAACUCAAAGUUUAGUCCUCUGAAAUCAAUAUCACUAUUCAAGAAUCUCUCAGGUCGGUAUUCCUCUGGAUCAUCCCAUGACAAUGGGUCUCUUCCCAUUGCCCAAACAUUAAUAAGGACUUGAGUUUUAGCAGGUAUGUCAUAGUCCAGUAAUUUUACGUCUUCCAUUGAUUCUCGAGGAACUGGUAAUGGAAACGGUGGAUUAAGCCUGAGAGUCUCUUUGAUCACUGCUUUCAGAUAUUGCAUAUUUCCUAAGUCGUCCUCUGUUAUCUCUGCUUUCCC